UUGAAAGUGAUGAUAUAUAGUAAAGAUAAGAACAUUUAUUUCAAAACAAAUAGAGUAGCAUUUGAAUUUGUCCAUAUUUGCACUAGAUGCAAUUGUAGUCGUAAAGAAAAGGAAUGAAUGAUUCAACCAAAAGUGGAAGGUGGGACAGAGCUACUACUCGCGUGAGUGUUGAUGGUGUUAUUCUAUCUCUACACUUUUCCAUGAAUUUUAUAAUGAGCCUCUUGCUCUUGCUUGACUUAUCAGUUAACUCUU
This 252-nucleotide long non-coding RNA is filed under the name Lathyrus oleraceus (garden pea). RNAcentral describes it as "Pisum sativum (pea) long non-coding RNA (PSAT_LNC017887)". The record is from RNAcentral. Lineage: Eukaryota; Viridiplantae; Streptophyta; Magnoliopsida; Fabales; Fabaceae.